Molecule: ribosomal RNA, 440 nt
Filed under: uncultured bacterium
Lineage: Bacteria
Description: partial 16S ribosomal RNA
Rfam family: Bacterial small subunit ribosomal RNA
Source: RNAcentral
CUACGGGAGGCAGCAGUGGGGAAUAUUGCGCAAUGGGCGGAAGCCUGACGCAGCAAUGCCGCGUGAGUGAAGAAGGCCUUCGGGUCGUAAAGCUCUUUAUCUUUGGGAAGAUGAUGACGGUACCAAAGGAAGAAGCACCGGCUAACUACGUGCCAGCAGCCGCGGUAAUACGUAGGGUGCAAGCGUUGUUCGGAAUCACUGGGCGUAAAGGGCGUGUAGGCGGAGUGGAUAGCUAGAGGUGAAAUCCCGGGGCUCAACCCUGGAGUGGCUUUUAGAACUGCCAUUCUUGAGAAGGUCAGAGGUUAGCGGAAUUCCUGGUGUAGCGGUGAAAUGCGUAGAUAUCAGGAGGAACACCGGUGGCGAAAGCGGCUAACUGGGGCCAUUCUGACGCUGAGGCGCGAAAGCGUGGGGAGCAAACAGGAUUAGAUACCCCCGUAGUC